Molecule: non-coding RNA, 212 nt
Organism: Cinara cedri
Lineage: Eukaryota; Metazoa; Arthropoda; Insecta; Hemiptera; Aphididae
Source: the annotation of a GenBank genome assembly
AAUAGCAUUUUGGAUGCAGCUAGUGGCCUGGCGGGGUCAAUUACUCUCUUGCACUGUUUUAAUCGAAAAUAACCUUCGAUUUGUCAUGCAAAACCACGUCGUGUAGUUAUUAGGGAAAAUUGAAUAAGCAUUUUGGUUGCACCUAGAAACCUUGUGAGAUCACUGAGGUUUGAACGAAUUCUUAAUCUAAGCUGAUCGACUUAUUCUUACUU